Molecule: ribosomal RNA, 253 nt
Filed under: uncultured bacterium
Lineage: Bacteria
Description: partial 16S ribosomal RNA
Rfam family: Bacterial small subunit ribosomal RNA
Source: RNAcentral
UACGUAGGGGGCGAGCGUUGUCCGGAUUUAUUGGGCGUAAAGAGCGUGUAGGCGGCCAGGUAGGUCUGCUGUGAAAACUCGAGGCUCAACCUCGAGACGUCGGCGGAAACCAUCUGGCUAGAGUCCGGAAGAGGAGAGUGGAAUUCCUGGUGUAGCGGUGAAAUGCGCAGAUAUCAGGAAGAACACCCGUGGCGAAGGCGGCUCUCUGGGCCGAUACUGACGCUGAGGAGCGAAAGCGUGGGGAGCGAACAGG